RNAcentral lists this ribosomal RNA (372 nucleotides) under uncultured bacterium. RNAcentral's name for it is "bacterial SSU rRNA". It matches the Rfam family "Bacterial small subunit ribosomal RNA", at positions 524 to 898 of the family's 1533-position model. The record is from RNAcentral.
UACGGAGGGUGCAAGCGUUAUCCGGAUUUAUUGGGUUUAAAGGGUGCGUAGGCGGUUUAUUAAGUCAGCGGUGAAAGUUUUCAGCUUAACUGGAAAAAUGCCGUUGAUACUGAUAAGCUGGAAUAUGGUUGCUGUGGGUGGAAUGUGUGGUGUAGCGGUGAAAUGCUUAGAGAUCACACAGAAUAUCGAUUGCGAAGGCAGCUCACAAAGCCAUUAUUGACGCUGAUGCACGAAAGUGUGGGGAUCAAACAGGAUUAGAUACCCUGGUAGUCCACACUGUAAACGAUGAUAACUCGCUGUCGGCGAUAUACAGUCGGUAGCCAAGCGAAAGCGAUAAGUUAUCCACCUGGGGAGUACGACCGCAAGGUUGAA